RNAcentral lists this ribosomal RNA (616 nucleotides) under Psilocybe cubensis. RNAcentral describes it as "eukaryotic LSU rRNA". It matches the Rfam family "Eukaryotic large subunit ribosomal RNA", at positions 52 to 650 of the family's 3401-position model. Lineage: Eukaryota; Fungi; Basidiomycota; Agaricomycetes; Agaricales; Agrocybaceae. The record is from RNAcentral.
GGAGGAAAAGAAACUAACAAGGAUUCCCCUAGUAACUGCGAGUGAAGCGGGAAAAGCUCAAAUUUAAAAUCUGGCGGUCUUUGGCCGUCCGAGUUGUAAUCUAGAGAAGUGUUAUCCGCGCUGGACCGUGUACAAGUCUCCUGGAAUGGAGCGUCAUAGAGGGUGAGAAUCCCGUCUUUGACACGGACUGCCAGGGCUUUGUGAUGCGCUCUCAAAGAGUCGAGUUGUUUGGGAAUGCAGCUCAAAAUGGGUGGUAAAUUCCAUCUAAAGCUAAAUAUUGGCGAGAGACCGAUAGCGAACAAGUACCGUGAGGGAAAGAUGAAAAGAACUUUGGAAAGAGAGUUAAACAGUACGUGAAAUUGCUGAAAGGGAAACGCUUGAAGUCAGUCGCGUUGGCCGGGAAUCAACCUUGCUUUUGCUGGGCGUACUUUCCGGUUGACGGGUCAACAUCAAUUUUGACCGUUGGAUAAAGGCUGAGGGAAUGUGGCUUCUUCGGGAGUGUUAUAGCCCUUGGUCGCAUACAACGGUUGGGAUUGAGGAACUCAGCACGCCGCAAGGCCGGGUACUUGUACCACGUUCGUGCUUAGGAUGUUGGCAUAAUGGCUUUAAUCGACCC